AUUGAACGCUGGCGGCAGGCCUAACACAUGCAAGUCGAACGGUAACAGGAAGAAGCUUGCUUCUUUGCUGACGAGUGGCGGACGGGUGAGUAAUGUCUGGGAAACUGCCUGAUGGAGGGGGAUAACUACUGGAAACGGUAGCUAAUACCGCAUAACGUCGCAAGACCAAAGAGGGGGACCUUCGGGCCUCUUGCCAUCGGACGUGCCCAGAUGGGAUUAGCUAGUUGGUGGGGUAACGGCUCACCAAGGCGACGAUCCCUAGCUGGUCUGAGAGGAUGACCAGCCGCACUGGAACUGAGACACGGUCCAGACUCCUACGGGAGGCAGCAGUGGGGAAUAUUGCACAAUGGGCGCAAGCCUGAUGCAGCCAUGCCGCGUGUAUGAAGAAGGCCUUCGGGUUGUAAAGUACUUUCAGCGGGGAGGAAGGGAGUAAAGUUAAUACCUUUGCUCAUUGACGUUACCCGCAGAAGAAGCACCGGCUAACUCCGUGCCAGCAGCCGCAGUAA
This 506-nucleotide ribosomal RNA is filed under the name uncultured bacterium. RNAcentral describes it as "partial 16S ribosomal RNA". It matches the Rfam family "Bacterial small subunit ribosomal RNA", at positions 30 to 523 of the family's 1533-position model. The record is from RNAcentral.